This 447-nucleotide ribosomal RNA is filed under the name uncultured bacterium. RNAcentral describes it as "partial 16S ribosomal RNA". It matches the Rfam family "Bacterial small subunit ribosomal RNA", at positions 330 to 794 of the family's 1533-position model. The record is from RNAcentral.
GCCAGACUCCUACGGGAGGCAGCAGUGGGGGAUAUUGCACAAUGGGGGAAACCCUGAUGCAGCGACGCCGCGUGGAGGAUGAAGGUUUUCGGAUUGUAAACCCCUUUUGUUAGAGAAGAUAAUGACGGUAUCUAACGAAUAAGCACCGGCUAACUCCGUGCCAGCAGCCGCGGUAAUACGGAGGGUGCAAGCGUUACUCGGAAUCACUGGGCGUAAAGAGUUCGUAGGUGGCAUAUUAAGUCUGGUGUUAAAUGCAGAAGCUCAACUUCUGUUCGGCACUGGAUACUGGUAAGCUUGAAUGCGGUAGAGGUAAAGGGAAUUCCUGGUGUAGCGGUGAAAUGCUUAGAUAUCAGGAGGAACAUCGGUGGCGUAAGCGCUUUACUGGGCCGUAAUUGACGCUGAGGAACGAAAGCCAGGGUAGCAAAUGGGAUUAGAUACCCCGGUACC